RNAcentral lists this ribosomal RNA (429 nucleotides) under uncultured Alphaproteobacteria bacterium. RNAcentral's name for it is "bacterial SSU rRNA". It matches the Rfam family "Bacterial small subunit ribosomal RNA", at positions 29 to 505 of the family's 1533-position model. Lineage: Bacteria; Pseudomonadati; Pseudomonadota; Alphaproteobacteria. The record is from RNAcentral.
AACGAACGCUGGCGGCAGGCCUAAAACAUGCAAGUCGAGCGAUCCUUCGGGAUAGCGGCGCACGGGUGAGUAACGCGUGGGAAUAUGCCCUUCACUGCGGAAUAACAGUUGGAAACGACUGCUAAUACCGCAUAAUGACUCCGGUCCAAAGAUUUAUCGGUGAAGGAUUAGCCCGCGUUAGAUUAGAUAGUUGGUGGGGUAAAAGCCUACCAAGUCGACGAUCUAUAGCUGAUUUGAGAGGAUGAUCAGCCACACUGGUACUGAGACACGGACCAGACUCCUACGGGAGGCAGCAGUUAGGAAUAUUGGACAAUGGAGGCAACUCUGAUCCAGCCAUGCCGCGUGAGUGAAGACGGCCUUAGGGUUGUAAAGCUCUUUCAGAUGUGAGGAUAAUGACAGUAACAUCAGAAGAAGCCCCGGCUAAAUUCG